AAAUUUAAUCCGUGGAUGUUGGGUAUCGUCGCAGGAUUAAUCGUUCUUCUUGCGCUCACUUUAAUUAUAAAAAGAUACAGAGUAAAAUCAAAAAGAAAUCAAGACAGCCCUCGAGAGGAUGUGGAAAUCCAGAGCAUAAACCCAG
Molecule: long non-coding RNA, 145 nt
Organism: Cyprinus carpio (common carp)
Lineage: Eukaryota; Metazoa; Chordata; Actinopteri; Cypriniformes; Cyprinidae
Exons: 2
Source: RefSeq, a predicted model, not a curated record